UCGUCCCGGGGGUUCCUAGAGGUAAGAAGCAGCGCAUUAGCUGUAUGCCUCGCAUUUAAUAUUACAAGUAAGGGUUAUAAUUUAGAGGUAAGAAGCAGCGCAGAUAGCUGUAUGCCUUGCAUAUUUAUUUAUAUUGUCAAGUUAAUCCCGGUUGGUCCGUACGAAAAUACAAGUAAAAGACUAUUAUUUUAGUAGCUCCGCCCGUAUGUAAAUUAUAUAUAUUAUUGUUGGAAU
Molecule: long non-coding RNA, 234 nt
Filed under: Mytilus galloprovincialis (Mediterranean mussel)
Lineage: Eukaryota; Metazoa; Mollusca; Bivalvia; Mytilida; Mytilidae
Source: RNAcentral